Struthio camelus australis is the source of this 1939-nucleotide long non-coding RNA. RefSeq lists it as uncharacterized. The record is from RefSeq and is a predicted model, not a curated record. NCBI's taxonomy places the organism in Eukaryota, Metazoa, Chordata, Aves, Struthioniformes, Struthionidae.
CAAAGCUUCUAGCCCACAGUUAAUGCCAGCUGGAGGCAGCCACAGUGCCUCUAUCCCUCUGCCUCCCCUUUUAUUUUUCUGGGUCUUUCUUUUUGGAAAAGCAGGAUAGGUCAUCAGUCCUUAGGCAAAUAGAGAGCCUGCAUUACUUUGCUGAGGACUGGUUUUCACCUUUUUGGGGGCGGAGGGCACCUGGAGAAUGGGACACCCUCUAUACUCUUUCUCCUCUUCUAUCAUGCAUCAAAGCUCUUCCUCAACAUAUGGUGAGGCCCAAGGACCAGUUUGGAAUGGCAGGAAGCACGGUGGAUUUUCCCUGUGAAGUACAAGGAGGUGAUGUCUCCAAGAUGUCAUCCAACAAUAAAGCCCAUCAGCAUUAGCAACUGACAGCUAAUUAUACCACAGAUACUCAAGCAUGAAGUGCAGAGUGCUUAAAAAUUGCUACACAACAUGGUCUCUAAAAUUAAGCUGUUUAACUUUUCCAGGGAUGAAAAUCUGUUUUAACAAAUCACUGCAUUGAAUGGCCUUUCAAUUUCUUCUUUAUUGGACUCUAUCUUUUUACAUAAUCAGAUCUAAUUAUGAAUGCAAGCCAUUUUUGAACCUGGCAUUAACAAGAGAAAUCAAAAACUCCAUGUGGUAUAUGCUAAUUUUCUCCUUAAUAAUGUAGCUAAACUGACCUUUGCCAAAAUAAAAUGUGGUAGAAACAGUGAAAGUAAAAUUUUUAGUGUUUCAAAUAAAGAAUUUUGAGGAAGAGGCCUGUUGUUUGUAGCUUCCCAAAUUAUUAAGUAUGGAAUAAUCUACAAGUGAAGUUUACCAUGCUUGUUCCUCAGUUUUUUAGUACAUUGUAGGAAGCCAACUGCUACACAAUGGAUGUUGCAGUGUGGUGUUUAUCAGAACCUUCCCCACUGCUCACGUGGCCCAGCAUGAUCACGGCCAGUAUGACUGCCAAGCUAUCCUUGUAUCGGGGGGGGAUGAGGGUGAUUUUGUGCAAAUCAAAGGUAAUAAAGGAGGUUUUUAUUCAUUAUAUGGAUUUUUUUUUAUUUUAUUGUGAAUUUUUGUCUCUGAGCAGCCUAAACAUAUAUUGUAGAGGCUAUCUACUGACUUAUCUUGGCUGAGGAUGGGAGAAAGGGGCCUGCUUUCUCUUCAAACUCCUUUCCAGUACCAUUGUCGUAUAAGACACAUGUUCAGAAGAGGUUAGGGCAUACUUAUUCAAUCUCUUUUAUAGUGUAUGAUCGUUUUCAUAUUCAAAGCAAGUGGGGAAAAUUUUGCUAAAUGGAUAAAGGUUUUCAUCCAUUUAAUGCACUGCUAUAAAUUUCACCCUCAUUUCUUCUGAGAAGUUAUGGGAGCCUCAAAAAUUUCUGAAGUGGAGUAAUUAUCUCAUAUGAAUAUUUUAAACUUCAGUAAUUUUGAGGGAGAGGAAAUGAUCAGCUUUUCUAACAGUAGUAGAAUAAGAAGUUAGAGGUUAUGUUAUUAAAGGAUACAUUUGACUUGAAAAUUGAAGUAAAAUUGCUUUAGGAUGAUGAGGUAAUCAGUUAUUCUUCUUGAUGAUAUAGAUAUAACAGUUCAGUAAGAGCAUCCAAAUGAAGCUAUCAGAAUGUAAUCCCAAGUUUUCUUCUUGACUGCAGCAGUUGCAGAUGUUCUCUGUCUUUUGUAAUUUACAUCACGCCAUUUCAAAAGAGUCUCAGUUUUGUUUUAUUAGCUUUCAAGCUCUCAAACAAAUGAAUACCACUGUCAGAGUACAAAUAUUUUCCCAAACUUACCAUGGACCAUCGUGUGAUUUGAGGAGACAGGGCUCAACCGACAAUAAAUGGAGUAGGUGUUGUCAUGGUAAUGUGAGAGAAGAGACCCUUGCUAAAAUUUGUUAUUUCUCUCAUUUUUGUCUUUCCUAUUACAACGUGCCUUGGUCAGCUAGGCACAAACAGUCAAAGAGGUUCCUGCAGAGGAC